RNAcentral lists this ribosomal RNA (497 nucleotides) under uncultured bacterium. Its description in RNAcentral is "partial 16S ribosomal RNA". It matches the Rfam family "Bacterial small subunit ribosomal RNA", at positions 28 to 507 of the family's 1533-position model. The record is from RNAcentral.
GAUGAACGCUGGCGGCGUGCCUAAUACAUGCAAGUCGAGCGAACAGACGAGGAGCUUGCUCCUCUGACGUUAGCGGCGGACGGGUGAGUAACACGUGGAUAACCUACCUAUAAGACUGGGAUAACUUCGGGAAACCGGAGCUAAUACCGGAUAAUAUAUUGAACCGCAUGGUUCAAUAGUGAAAGACGGUUUUGCUGUCACUUAUAGAUGGAUCCGCGCCGCAUUAGCUAGUUGGUAAGGUAACGGCUUAUCAAGGCAACGAUGCGUAGCCGACGUGAGAGGGUGAUCGGCCACACUGGAACUGAGACACGGUCCAGACUCCUACGGGAGGCAGCAGUAGGGAAUCUUCCGCAAUGGGCGAAAGCCUGACGGAGCAACGCCGCGUGAGUGAUGAAGGUCUUCGGAUCGUAAAACUCUGUUAUUAGGGAAGAACAAAUGUGUAAGUAACUAUGCACGUCUUGACGGUACCUAAUCAGAAAGCCACGGCUAACUACGUG